This 253-nucleotide ribosomal RNA is filed under the name uncultured bacterium. Its description in RNAcentral is "partial 16S ribosomal RNA". It matches the Rfam family "Bacterial small subunit ribosomal RNA", at positions 524 to 776 of the family's 1533-position model. The record is from RNAcentral.
GACGGAGGGUGCUAGCGUUGUUCGGAAUCACUGGGCGUAAAGAGCGUGUAGGCGGCCUGGUAAGUCCGCUGUGAAAGUCCAGGGCUCAACCCUGGAAUGCCGGUGGAAACUGUCAGGCUCGAGUCCGGAAGAGGCGAGUGGAAUUCCUGGUGUAGCGGUGAAAUGCGCAGAUAUCAGGAGGAACACCAAUGGCGAAGGCAGCUCGCUGGGACGGUACUGACGCUGAGACGCGAAAGCGUGGGGAGCAAACAGG